This 202-nucleotide ribosomal RNA is filed under the name uncultured bacterium. Its description in RNAcentral is "partial 16S ribosomal RNA". It matches the Rfam family "Bacterial small subunit ribosomal RNA", at positions 1300 to 1500 of the family's 1533-position model. The record is from RNAcentral.
GUAGUCUGCGACUCGACUACAUGAAGCUGGAAUCGCUAGUAAUCGCAGAUCAGAAUGCUGCGGUGAAUACGUUCCCGGGUCUUGUACACACCGCCCGUCACACCAUGGGAGUCGGAAAUGCCCGAAGCCGGUGACCAAACCAAUAAGGAAGGAGCCGUCGAAGGCAGGUCUGAUAACUGGGGUGAAGUCGUAACAAGGUAGC